CAUUACCUAGAGUUUGUAGACUUCGGUCUGCUACCUCUUACCCAUGUCUUUUGAGUACCUUCGUUUCCUCGGCGGGUCCGCCCGCCGAUUGGACAACAUUCAAACCCUUUGCAGUUGCAAUCAGCGUCUGAAAAAACAUAAUAGUUACAACUUUCAACAACGGAUCUCUUGGUUCUGGCAUCGAUGAAGAACGCAGCGAAAUGCGAUAAGUAGUGUGAAUUGCAGAAUUCAGUGAAUCAUCGAAUCUUUGAACGCACAUUGCGCCCCUUGGUAUUCCAUGGGGCAUGCCUGUUCGAGCGUCAUUUGUACCUUCAAGCUCUGCUUGGUGUUGGGUGUUUUGUCUCGCCUCUGCGUGUAGACUCGCCUUAAAACAAUUGGCAGCCGGCGUAUUGAUUUCGGAGCGCAGUACAUCUCGCGCUUUGCACUCAUAACGGCGACGUCCAAAAGUACAUUUUUACACUCUUGACCUCGGAUCAGGUAGGGAUACCCGCUGAACUUAAGCAUAUCAAUAAGCGGAGGA
This 520-nucleotide ribosomal RNA is filed under the name uncultured fungus. RNAcentral's name for it is "eukaryotic LSU rRNA". The stretch from base 149 to 302 matches the Rfam family "5.8S ribosomal RNA". The record is from RNAcentral. Lineage: Eukaryota; Fungi.